GAGAGCCACAUACAUUGAGAGGUGUACGUGUGGUUCGGAGGGGAGUUUUUGGAAACCUGUCGUAGAAAUACGAUAAGGCGCUGGAUUCUUACCCUAC
Molecule: non-coding RNA, 97 nt
Filed under: Petrocella atlantisensis
Lineage: Bacteria; Bacillati; Bacillota; Clostridia; Lachnospirales; Vallitaleaceae
Source: RNAcentral